UGUGGUGGAACAAAUAGCAGCUUAUGGCCAGGUUGUAUUUUGACUCCAGGAGUUCAUUGAUGAAGUCAUGGGACACAGUUCCAAAAGCAUGCUGCCUGGAAGUGGGUCUGUUCCUAAGAAGUCACCUGAAGCUCCCUUUAGAACCUACCAGGCUUUCAUGUGAGCCCUGUACAAAUACUUCAUUGGUUUCAAAGAGCAACUUGCAGAAAUUGAGAAGUGCAUCAUCAAUAAUGAUGCUGCAAUAACUCUUGGGAUAGUGGUGGACAAGUUGUCACCUCGAUUGGCUCAGCUCAAGGUUCGCACAGAGUGUUCAGUACCAGAGUAGCAGAAGUUCCACCUGAUACUCAAAAUGUCUGGGCCUCUCACCUGCGCAACACCCUGUACAAGGCCAUUCUCGAAUAUGACAAUGUUGGAGAGGCCUCUGAGCAAACCUUUCCCAGUCUGGACUGCAAACAAUAUGAUCCUUCCAUACUUGGGUGAGUUUUUUGUAAGGAUUUUAUAGCAUAUGUUUUGGGAUUUUUAAAUUUCAAGGCAUUUCAGAAAUGUUUAAACCUCCUUUUGUUCUAGUGGCCAGGGAGCCCUGAGAGCUGACUGUGCACACUCUCUGCCUCAGGUCUCCCUCCUGUUCUCUCCCUGGGUGGAAAUGGUGUGGCCUUACCUGCAGACAGUGGAUGAGUAGAUCGUGCAUGGGCACCUGUGGGACGACACCAGGGAGUUGAUCAUCCAGAGCGUGUCAGACAAGACAGAAAGUGAAGAAAAAAUGAGUGAUAAUGCGAGUGCGAGUUCCGGCAGUGACCAGGGGCCCUCCAGCAGGCAUCACACCAUGGCGUCCUUCCUCAAACCUGUCCUGGAGCAGAUCAUAAUGGCUGACAAGUCCAUGCAGUUGCUG
Molecule: long non-coding RNA, 889 nt
Organism: Sapajus apella (tufted capuchin)
Lineage: Eukaryota; Metazoa; Chordata; Mammalia; Primates; Cebidae
Exons: 4
Source: RefSeq, a predicted model, not a curated record